GUCUACAGCCAUACUACCCUGAAUGUGCCAUCUCGUCUGAUUUCAAAAGUUAAGCAGGAUCAGGCCUGGUUAGUACUUGAAUGGGAGAAGUGAAAU
Molecule: ribosomal RNA, 96 nt
Organism: Cercocebus atys (sooty mangabey)
Lineage: Eukaryota; Metazoa; Chordata; Mammalia; Primates; Cercopithecidae
Source: Ensembl